GAUCAUGGCUCAGGAUGAACGCUAGCUACAGGCUUAACACAUGCAAGUCGAGGGGAAACGACAUCGAAAGCUUGCUUUUGAUGGGCGUCGACCGGCGCACGGGUGAGUAACGCGUAUCCAACCUGCCCACCACUUGGGGAUAACCUUGCGAAAGUAAGACUAAUACCCAAUGACAUCCCACGAAGACAUCUGAAUGGGAUUAAAGAUUUAUCGGUGAUGGGAGUGGGGAUGCGU
This 234-nucleotide ribosomal RNA is filed under the name uncultured bacterium. RNAcentral's name for it is "partial 16S ribosomal RNA". It matches the Rfam family "Bacterial small subunit ribosomal RNA", at positions 15 to 236 of the family's 1533-position model. The record is from RNAcentral.